CAGCCGCCACGGGAAAACGAAGGGGGCUAGCGUUGCUCGGAAUGACUGGGCGUAAAGGGCGCGUAGGCGGCGAUCAAAGUCAGACGUGAAAUUCCUGGGCUCAACCUGGGAACUGCAUUUGAAACUGGCAGGCUAGAGUCUUGUAGAGGGGGGUAGAAUUCCAGGUGUAGCGGUGAAAUGCGUAGAGAUCUGGAGGAAUACCGGUGGCGAAGGCGGCCCCCUGGACAAAGACUGACGCUCAGGUGCGAAAGCGUGGGGAGCAAACAGGAUUAGAUACCCGCGUAGUCCCUGUCUCUUAUAC
Molecule: ribosomal RNA, 301 nt
Filed under: uncultured bacterium
Lineage: Bacteria
Description: partial 16S ribosomal RNA
Rfam family: Bacterial small subunit ribosomal RNA
Source: RNAcentral